AAUUCACAUAGGUAGUGAAACGUUCUAUAAAUUUUAGAAAAAUAGUUAUAUUUUUUGGUAUAGAUAGAAGUGAGUAUGCUCGCAUGAGUAGCCAAAGUAAAAACAAACUACAACCGGAAACCCAAGGUUAUCUGAUCUUAAAGUAGACAGAGUGAAACGGUCUCUAAGAUUUAAUAAAUCAAUAGAGAAAACCUUUUAAAGUUUUGUUUAAAUUAUAAGCUUUGUAUACUAUUGUAUACUUUUUUAAUGUUUUUAGCAAUCUUUUUGUUCUAUCUGCAACAGUGUAAACUGUUGCAGAUCUGUGUUUGCUAAAGCAAACACUUGGUGCUCCGCAC
RNAcentral lists this ribosomal RNA (335 nucleotides) under Neochloris aquatica. RNAcentral describes it as "large subunit ribosomal RNA". Lineage: Eukaryota; Viridiplantae; Chlorophyta; Chlorophyceae; Sphaeropleales; Neochloridaceae. The record is from RNAcentral.